GGAUUUUGGUGAAAAUUAGUGGAGCUUAGAAUCUUGUUUCUAUGAUCCUAAUAGUUGCUAUAUGAUAUAUACAGGUUGUAGUGAAAAUUAGUGGAGCUUAGAAUCUUGUUUCUAUGAUCCUAAUAGUUGCUAUAUGAUAUAUACAGGUUGUAUAACUAUUUAUUUCAUGAAAAAUGAUGGAUUAAUGUGGUUUUAUGAUGAAAAUUCUUGUUGGACAGUAGCAUUUUCGCAACAACAGUUUUUCUGGUUUUUGACAACAUUUUCGCAACAACAAAU
This 276-nucleotide long non-coding RNA is filed under the name Lathyrus oleraceus (garden pea). RNAcentral describes it as "Pisum sativum (pea) long non-coding RNA (PSAT_LNC038321)". Lineage: Eukaryota; Viridiplantae; Streptophyta; Magnoliopsida; Fabales; Fabaceae. The record is from RNAcentral.